UUCUUGGAAGCGAAACAGUGCAUGUAUAUAUAAGGGGGAUGAUUCACUUGUGGCACAUUAAUCCACAGCACCAUGAAGCCUGCAAUACUUGUCCUCGUUCUUAGCCUCUCCGUUCUUGUGGCAGCCUACGAAACUCAGGCAGAAGCUGUAACAAUGAGCCAGGUGGUUAAUCCAGAGUUUGAGCACCCACACAGCCUCAGGAAAAGGUUGACUGAUGACCCAAAUGAGAAAAACAACGACGGGGAUUUUGGUGUGAGGUAUGAGAGGAAAUUCUAGAACUGCUGUGAGGAUCUCAAGUGACGGAAGAAAAUGACGGAGACUCUCUACGGGAAACUUGGGUAAAUUCAUCGAUAAAUUUACUCGUAUAACAUAAAAUAUGGAAGGUUAAGCAGAAAAAAACAAGACAGAAAUUCAAGCAAGAUUGGCAAGGAGUGACGAGAAAUUGUAUAGAUUUAGGAGUUUGUUAUGUAAACUAUUCAUUUUCUGUUCCUGGGAGGUCAUGUAAAUCCUUCUCCAACCAUUUUCUUUUCAGAAUAACAGUUGAACAAGAGAAAAUUAAGUCGUAAAAACUGACUCGUAAAUGUGCCAAAUUUGUAACUGCAUUAUGUGUGAAUAUGAUAGGAAGAAAAUGUGAUAAUAAAGUAAUGAAAGUUAACC
Long non-coding RNA from Penaeus chinensis, 657 nucleotides. RefSeq lists it as uncharacterized. The transcript is spliced from 3 exons. The record is from RefSeq and is a predicted model, not a curated record. NCBI's taxonomy places the organism in Eukaryota, Metazoa, Arthropoda, Malacostraca, Decapoda, Penaeidae.